This 492-nucleotide ribosomal RNA is filed under the name uncultured bacterium. Its description in RNAcentral is "partial 16S ribosomal RNA". It matches the Rfam family "Bacterial small subunit ribosomal RNA", at positions 29 to 507 of the family's 1533-position model. The record is from RNAcentral.
AGUGAACGCUGGCGGUAGGCCUAACACAUGCAAGUCGAACGGCAGCACAGUAAGAGCUUGCUCUUACGGGUGGCGAGUGGCGGACGGGUGAGGAAUACAUCGGAAUCUACUUUUUCGUGGGGGAUAACGUAGGGAAACUUACGCUAAUACGGCAUACGACCUACGGGUGAAAGCAGGGGAUCUUCGGACCUUGCGCGAUUGAAUGAGCCGAUGUCGGGUUAGCUAGUUGGCGGGGUAAAGGCCCACCAAGGCGACGAUCCGUAGCUGGUCUGAGAGGAUGAUCAGCCACACUAGAACUGAGACACGGUCCAGACUCCUACGGGAGGCAGCAGUGGGGAAUAUUGGACAAUGGGCGCAAGCCUGAUCCAGCCGUACCGCGUGGGUGAAGAAGGCCUUCGGGUUGUAAAGCCCUUUUGUUGGGAAAGAAAAGCAGCAGGUUAAUACCCCGCUGUUCUGACGGUACCCAAAGAAUAAGCACCGGCUAACUUCGUG